GAUGAAGAACGCAGUGAAAUGCGAUACGUAAUGUGAAUUGCAGAAUUCAGUGAAUCAUCGAAUCUUUGAACGCACAUUGCGCCUGCCAGCACUCUGGCAGGCAUGCCUGUUCGAGCAUCAUUUCAACCAUCAAGCCCUAGGCUUGCGUUGGAGCCCUUCGGCUGCCGCAGGCCCCUAAAAGCAGUGGCGGGCUCGCUAUCACACCGAGUGCAGUAGAUUACUCUUCGCUCAGGGCGUGUGGCGGGUUCCAGCCGUGAAACCCCCUACUUCUCAAGGUUGACCUCGGAUCAGGUAGGAAUACCCGCUGAACUUAAGCAUAUCAAUAAGCGGAGGA
RNAcentral lists this unclassified non-coding RNA (334 nucleotides) under soil metagenome. RNAcentral's name for it is "partial contains 5.8S ribosomal RNA, internal transcribed spacer 2, and large subunit ribosomal RNA". The stretch from base 1 to 120 matches the Rfam family "5.8S ribosomal RNA", at positions 35 to 154 of the family's 154-position model. The record is from RNAcentral.